RNAcentral lists this ribosomal RNA (253 nucleotides) under uncultured bacterium. RNAcentral describes it as "partial 16S ribosomal RNA". It matches the Rfam family "Bacterial small subunit ribosomal RNA", at positions 524 to 776 of the family's 1533-position model. The record is from RNAcentral.
UACGUAGGGUGCGAGCGUUGUCCGGAAUUAUUGGGCGUAAAGAGCUUGUAGGCGGUCUGUCGCGUCUGCUGUGAAAAUCCGGGGCUCAACCCCGGACUUGCAGUGGGUACGGGCAGACUAGAGUGUGGUAGGGGAGACUGGAAUUCCUGGUGUAGCGGUGAAAUGCGCAGAUAUCAGGAGGAACACCGAUGGCGAAGGCGGCUCUCUGGGACGGUACUGACGCUGAGACGCGAAAGCGUGGGGAGCAAACAGG